AUCCUAAAGAGCUCCUGACAAGGUCUACUGCUGGGGGAGAGGUUAAUGUGUUGACAGACCAUGCGGAUUAAUACCUCUGGGAAGUUUUACCUGUUCCUUGCUUAGUUCUGAGCAGAAAAUGUCUCAGGAACCAUAAGAAAAGAAAUGCGAUAGAAAAGAUCAUUUGAUGAAAAAGAAGGAGGGUGUGAAGGAGUGAGCUGAUUGUCUGCACACACACCCGAGGGGACUCCUCAGAAAUGACUAAAGCAAAUACUGAAGGAGCAAAUGGCUGUGCAGCACACACAGCUGAGGGGACUCCUCAGAAAUGACAUGAAGGAAACUCAAAAGGAGCUGCAGGAGCAGCUGAAGACUGCAGGAAGCCAGGGCUCUGCACUACCUACGGCUGAAGAAACUCCUGAGGGGACUUAGAGGAGGUGGUUAGUGAACAGACUAAAACCUUGGAAAUUCCUUAUCUAAGGAGCCAUGGACUUAAAGGACUGCCCUGACUGGUCUUGAACUUGAGACCCCCUUGUCUCAGUUUCCUUAAUGCUGACAUUCCAAGUGCCACAUGUGCCCUCCCAUGGUUUAAGUCCUCAGCCCGGUGAGGUGGUUUGAGGAAGCUGUCCUUUGACUUGAAUGGCAACCAUUAAAGCUACGUCAAGUUAACAGCUAUGGGCUCUCUUUCCACUCCCUCCAGUAGUUACCCUUGGUAUAAAUAAAUGAAUGAUUAAGUAAAUAAUAAAGUACUU
This is a long non-coding RNA of Mesocricetus auratus (golden hamster), 728 nucleotides long. RefSeq lists it as uncharacterized. The transcript is spliced from 3 exons. Lineage: Eukaryota; Metazoa; Chordata; Mammalia; Rodentia; Cricetidae. The record is from RefSeq and is a predicted model, not a curated record.